This 1239-nucleotide long non-coding RNA is filed under the name Lathyrus oleraceus (garden pea). RNAcentral describes it as "Pisum sativum (pea) long non-coding RNA (PSAT_LNC040681)". The record is from RNAcentral. Lineage: Eukaryota; Viridiplantae; Streptophyta; Magnoliopsida; Fabales; Fabaceae.
AUUUUGAUACUGCAAAUGGGAUCAGAAGGAGUUGAUUAUGGGUUGUGAGAUAGGGGAAAACUACAAGAAAAGAAUUUUUGUCAAGGCACUUUCAGUAUGAAAGUUAAAUGUUCUUUUAUGCUGAGAUUUGUGUCAAGUGGCAGCGGUUUGAAGGUGAAAGUUAGGCUUGGAUUUCAAUCAUGAAAUAGCUAUGGAUUUAGAUGGUCAUGACAUAUUAGGUUGUUUAAACAUAAUGAAGGACAUUUUCUAAAUGACAUAACAAAAUACAAUAUGGCUCCAAGGUACAUAGUUGUUGCUUUGAAAGAUAGAGAUCCAAAAAUCUGACGAACGUUACGCAAGCGUAUAAAGCAAGAUCUACAUGCAAGACGAGCAAGAGAGGUCCAUUGACUGAAAAGAAAUAUCUAUUGAGUCUAAUUCAUGAUAGAAAUACAUGUAUUGGUUCAGAAACAGCGCCGAAAAAAAUUCACUCUGACAAAAUAUGUAAAUUUCAAAAUAUUUGAUAGUUAGUAGCAAGAAAUCAGAUACAAAAUAUUUGAAAUUCAAUGAAAACUUUGCAUUUUUACCACAUUUAAAAAAAACAGGCAUUAGUUUUUGCUUGAUUUUAUAAAAAUCUGGUGCAUUUAUACCGUAUUUUUCUUUUUUUUUUUUUUUUGGUAAAACCGAUAUUUUUUAUCGGACUUUCUGAAAAAUCCGAGAAGCAACAAAAAUUCUGCAAUUAUUUAAAAUUUGGUAUACCUGAUUUAUAAUCCAGAUUGAAAAAUCUGAUAGUUCAAGUCAGGAUGUUUGCUUUAUGCGCUCCUGAUAUGGAUGGUUCCUCUACAAAUUUUGUGCAGUUCUUCACCUCUAAAGUUGUAUGUUUUAUUUGCAUGUUUUGUUUUUGACUUAUGCAAAAUUUAAUAGGUUUUGGGUAUCUCUGUCAUAGAUAAUUCAUUUUUUAUGUUGUAAACAACAAACAUUUCCCUCCCGGACUGACGUUUUAGCAUGGACACACUUCAUUGGUAAACAACAUGGUAUUAUUGUUGUUACUAUUCAUUUUGAUACUGCAAAUGGGAUCAGAAGGAGUUGAUUAUGGGUUGUGUGAUAGGGGAAAACUACAAGAAGAAGAAUUUUUCUCAAGGCACUUUCAGUAUGAAAGUUAAAUGUUCUUUUAUGCUGAGAUUUGUGUCAAGUGGCAGCGGUUUGAAGGUGACAGUUAGGCUUGGAUUUCAAAAUCAUGAAAUAGCUAUGGAUUUAGAUGGU